RNAcentral lists this ribosomal RNA (274 nucleotides) under uncultured bacterium. RNAcentral's name for it is "partial 16S ribosomal RNA". It matches the Rfam family "Bacterial small subunit ribosomal RNA", at positions 523 to 796 of the family's 1533-position model. The record is from RNAcentral.
AUACGGAGGGCACAAGCGUUGUUCGGAAUUAUUGGGCGUAAAGCGCGUGUAGGCGGCUUGGCAAGUCGGGUGUGAAAGCCCGGGGCUCAACCCCGGAAUUGCAUUCGAAACUGCUGGGCUAGAGUCUCAGAGAGGAGGGCGGAAUUCCCGGUGUAGAGGUGAAAUUCGUAGAUAUCGGGAGGAACACCAGUGGCGAAGGCGGCCCUCUGGACGAUGACUGACGCUGAGACGCGAAAGCGUGGGGAGCAAACAGCAUUAGAAACCCUGGUAGUCC